GAUCAUUUGCGGAUCAACGUGUUGGUGUUUUCAUCGCUGAGGGCUCGUUUGGGGGUUGUUGUGACGCCGUCGAGAGUGUCCAGUAUAAGACGUGUGUUACUGGCCGGUGGACCGUGGUAGUCUACUGGUUUGGAUUUGUGAAUCCUGACUGACGUUGGUCUAAGUUUUGUUAUGGGUUGAAGACAAGCAUACUUCCUGGGACGAUUGGUAAAUAUUUUUCCUUCAAAAGCAAGAGCUUCUGAUGGUAAGAAGCACAUUGCUACAUGACAAACCAGGAAACUGUGACUUAUCAGAACAUUACUGUAGAGCUGAGAGCCCCGAAUCUACUGAUGAAACACAAAUCGGUCUGAAGUAACUUAAAUUUGGAAGCCUUUCUUCAUAGGAAUCUGGCCAUCGCGAGUUCCGGAAUGGCUGGGCGGUGCUCUUACUACAGGCUUUAAAUGUUCUCAUUGGGAUUUGCUAUAAAAUAACUUGGGAACACAGUGUAACAAGACAAAGAUUCUAAGUAUCUCUUAUAUGAAAGCAAGCAAUGGAGUUGAGCAUUGCUUGCUGGAUAUCCAUCUUAUGUCAAAUCUCAACACACUCGUGCUUUAUACCAGAGUUCAAUGGUUUUCAGAUAAAGCUGAAUUUUGAUGGUAAGAAAUGUGUAACUAAUGCAUUUGUAUAUAGACAUGCCUUUUAGUCUAGUAAAUAAGAUUGGUAACUAA
This is a long non-coding RNA of Macrobrachium nipponense, 707 nucleotides long. RefSeq lists it as uncharacterized. The transcript is spliced from 3 exons. The record is from RefSeq and is a predicted model, not a curated record. Lineage: Eukaryota; Metazoa; Arthropoda; Malacostraca; Decapoda; Palaemonidae.